RNAcentral lists this ribosomal RNA (305 nucleotides) under uncultured bacterium. RNAcentral describes it as "bacterial SSU rRNA". It matches the Rfam family "Bacterial small subunit ribosomal RNA", at positions 337 to 639 of the family's 1533-position model. The record is from RNAcentral.
UCCUACGGGACGCAGCAGUGAGGAAUAUUGGUCAAUGGGCGGGAGCCUGAACCAGCCAAGCCGCGUGAGGGAAGAAGGUACAGCGUAUCGUAAACCUCUUUUGUCAGGGAACAAAGGCGGGGACUAGUCCCCGGAUGAGGGUACCUGAAGAAAAAGCAUCGGCUAACUCCGUGCCAGCAGCCGCGGUAAUACGUAGGUGGCGAGCGUUGUCCGGAAUUACUGGGCGUAAAGGGAGUGUAGGCGGGAAAGCAAGUCAGAAGUGAAAACUAUGGGCUUAACCCAUAGCCUGCUUUUGAAACUGUUUU